RNAcentral lists this ribosomal RNA (255 nucleotides) under uncultured bacterium. RNAcentral describes it as "partial 16S ribosomal RNA". It matches the Rfam family "Bacterial small subunit ribosomal RNA", at positions 526 to 779 of the family's 1533-position model. The record is from RNAcentral.
CAGAGGGUGCAAGCGUUAAUCGGAAUUACUGGGCGUAAAGCGCGCGUAGGUGGUUUGUUAAGUUGGAUGUGAAAGCCCCGGGCUCAACCUGGGAACUGCAUCCAAAACUGGCAAGCUAGAGUAUGGUAGAGGGUGGUGGAAUUUCCUGUGUAGCGGUGAAAUGCGUAGAUAUAGGAAGGAACACCAGUGGCGAAAGCGACCACCUGGACUGAUACUGACACUGAGGUGCGAAAGCGUGGGGGAGCAAACAGGAUU